This 409-nucleotide ribosomal RNA is filed under the name uncultured bacterium. Its description in RNAcentral is "bacterial SSU rRNA". It matches the Rfam family "Bacterial small subunit ribosomal RNA", at positions 28 to 444 of the family's 1533-position model. The record is from RNAcentral.
GACUAACGCUGGCGGCGUGCCUAACACAUGCAAGUCGAGCGGGGUAGCAAUACCCAGCGGCAGACGGGUGAGUAACACGUAGUCAACCUUCCCGACAGUGGGGGAUAACUAGCCGAAAGGUUAGCUAAUACCGCAUACGAUCUAUGAGAGGCAUCUCUUAUAGAUGAAAGGAGCAAUCCGCUUUCGGACGGGACUGCGUCCCAUUAGCUAGAUGGUGGGGUAAUGGCCUACCAUGGCAACGAUGGGUAGCUGGUUUGAGAGAGCGGCCAGCCACACUGGGACUGAGAAACGGCCCAGACUCCUACGGGAGGCAGCAGUGAGGAAUUUUUCCGCAAUGGGCGAAAGCCUGACGGAGCGACGCCGCGUGUGGGAAGAAGGGCCUUCGGGUCGUAAACCACUGUCGAAGGGG